GCAGCAGCAGCAGCAGCAGCACCCCCAGCUAUUAAUCCUCCCACACCAUGUCCAUGUGAACCGUGUCCUGUAAAUUUUACCAUUCACGUCAGAUGAUGAUAAAAGAUGAAAAUGAAAUUGUAUUUAUAAGUUAGCGAACAUCUCUCCAGAUCCAUUUUGAGUUUUGAGGGUUAAAGAAGAUGGAUGCGGUUCACCAAAUGGCAAGCUAUAUGCCUUUUUCAUUUUCUUUUUUUUUUUUCUUUAAAGGACUAAGUGAAAAACCUUUAUCAAAAGAAAAAAUCAACCAUAAGUUUAAGAUCCAAUGUUAUAUCCUUGCUCAUUGCUCUUUGAAGUAUGAACAAAAACCAAAGACCAUAAGGCCCACAAUAGGGAGACUUAACAACUCAAAUUUAUAAUGGACUAACAAAGAAACAGCCAUAGGAAAACUAAAGGGGUCAUGAAGCCUACCAGGAUAACCAGCUGGUGGAUAUCCACCAUGCGGUGGAUAACCAGCUGGUGGAUAUCCACCAUGCGGUGGAUACGCAGCUGGAGGGUGUCCUCCUGGGGGAGGAUAUCCAGUAGGUGGAUAUCCGCCAGGAGGAGGAUAUCCACCUGGAGGAGGGUAUCCAGCAGGUGGGUAGCCUUGUGGCGGAUACCCAUGAGAAGGGUAGGAUCCAGGUGGAGGAUAAUGUCCAGCAGCAUAGCCAGCAAGAUUAGAAAACAGCCCUUUGUCACUUGACUCGCCUUCAUUCUUGUCUUUACCACCUCCCAUUUUUCUUCAGCUUGAAGUUAUUGAGUUUAAGUAACCUAGUCUGUCAGGAGUAAAAAAACAAACCUUUGUCAGCUGAAACACACUUCAAAGAGAAAUAUUGAAAAGAAAAUAUUAAAAAAGAAAAAAAAAACAAAAUAGCUAUCAAAUAUGUAGAUUAGACAGUGCCUGGCUGGUUUCAAAAGUUGAUUCUC
This 942-nucleotide long non-coding RNA is filed under the name Theobroma cacao (cacao). Its description in RNAcentral is "long non-coding RNA (TCAC_LNC003538)". The record is from RNAcentral. Lineage: Eukaryota; Viridiplantae; Streptophyta; Magnoliopsida; Malvales; Malvaceae.